RNAcentral lists this ribosomal RNA (651 nucleotides) under uncultured archaeon. RNAcentral's name for it is "bacterial SSU rRNA". It matches the Rfam family "Archaeal small subunit ribosomal RNA", at positions 208 to 859 of the family's 1478-position model. The record is from RNAcentral.
GAUAGGUCUGCGGCUGAUUAGGUCGUUGGUGGGGUAAUGGCCCACCAAGCCGAUGAUCGGUACGGGUUGUGAGAGCAAGGGCCCGGAGAUGGAACCUGAGACAAGGUUCCAGACCCUACGGGGUGCAGCAGGCGCGAAGCCUCCGCAAUGUACGAAAGUGCGACGGGGGGAUCCCAAGUGUUAUGCUUUUUUGUAUGACUUUUCAUUAGUGUAAAAAGCUUUUAGAAUAAGAGCUGGGCAAGACCGGUGCCAGCCGCCGCGGUAACACCGGCAGCUCGAGUGGUAGCUGUUUUUAUUGGGCCUAAAGCGUUCGUAGCCGGUUUGAUAAGUCUUUGGUGAAAGCUUGUAGCUUAACUAUAAGAAUUGCUGGAGAUACUAUUAGACUUGAAGUCGGGAGAGGUUAGAGGUACUACCGGGGUAGGGGUGAAAUCCUAUAAUCCUGGGAGGACCGCCUGUGGCGAAGGCGUCUAACUGGAACGAUCUUGACGGUGAGUAACGAAAGCCAGGGGCGCGAACCGGAUUAGAUACCCGGGUAGUCCUGGCCGUAAACGAUGUGGACUUGGUGUUGGAAUGGCUCUGAGUUGUUCCGGUGCCGAAGGGAAGCUGUUAAGUCCACCGCCUGGGAAGUACGGUCGCAAGACUGAAACUUAA